GCAGGGGCCUCAAGAUGGAGUCACAGACCCAGAUACUCAUAUUCCUGUUGCUCUGGGUGUCUGGUGCUGAUGGGAACAUUGUGAUGACUCAGUCUCCCAAAUCCAUGUACAUAUCUUUAGGAGACAGAGUCACUAUAAGCUGCAAGGCCAGUCAGAAUGUGGGUACUGCUGUAGCCUGGUAUCAACAGAAACCAGGGCAGUCUCUUGAACUGCUUAUCUACGGGGCAUCCAACCAGUACACUGGGGUCCCAGAUCACUUCACAGGCAGUGGAUCUGGGACAGAUUUCACUCUCACCAUCAGCAGUGUGCAGGCUGAAGACCUGGCAGAUUACUACUGUCAGCAGGUUACAACUAUCCUCCCACAGUGCUUCAACCUCCUACAUAAACCUCCUCUGAGAUUCCAACCAGCCACCUGUACCACACAUCCCCAGACCUUCACACUUCCCCUUCUGCCUGCAGCUGCUAGGCCUAACUGUUGCAAAUUUUGGUAG
This is a non-coding RNA of Mastomys coucha (southern multimammate mouse), 491 nucleotides long. NCBI's taxonomy places the organism in Eukaryota, Metazoa, Chordata, Mammalia, Rodentia, Muridae. The record is from the annotation of a RefSeq genome assembly.